Molecule: transfer RNA, 73 nt
Filed under: Salmo salar (Atlantic salmon)
Lineage: Eukaryota; Metazoa; Chordata; Actinopteri; Salmoniformes; Salmonidae
Rfam family: tRNA
About the family: Transfer RNA (tRNA) molecules are approximately 80 nucleotides in length. Their secondary structure includes four short double-helical elements and three loops (D, anti-codon, and T loops).
Source: Rfam by way of RNAcentral
GUCCCUGCGGCUCAGUUGGUAGAGCAUGGUGUUUGCAAUGCCAGAGUUGUGGGUUCGAUUCCCAUGGGGGGCC